GUCACCUCCGCGGAGCAGCCCGAGAACGAGACUUGGACAAACGCCUUGAAAAAAAAAAUUCUGCUUGAUGCUAUUUAGUUUCACAAGGAGCACUUUAAUGUCUGGAAGUGUCAGUCCCAAGCAGUGGAAAAUACAUAAAUAAAAAACAGCUGGGAAGUGCAUUUUCUCCUUAUGGAGCUGCCCAAUCAGGUUUCCAUUACUAGUAAGAAGUAACAACAAGCAACAGCUUGUUUGAGAGAGAAGUAACAUGAAUUUCUAAGCAGCAAAGAUUCUCUGAAAAGAGUGGAAUAUGAAAAAUGUUCAUAGCUUUUACUUUUUGACAGGGGUAAAACAUGGAGCUAACAUCUGACUGAGGCAGGGGAAGUCCUUCCACAUCCCUGUAUCCACAUGCAUGAUACCAGGAUUCAGAGGAUCAGGAUUCUGAAGAUAGCCCAUGAGAUAGCAUAUGAACAGCCUCUGGGCUCUUCUUCAUUUGCAGAUCAGCAGAAUUUCUAAGCCAGUCUCAGUUCUGAAAGACUGCCAAGUUCACAGAAGAAUCAAUAGCCAAGGAUAUUCACAUAGGAUAAGAUUUACAAAGCAUGUUUCUCAGACAGUAACAACUGGGACCUCGGAGCACUUACUGGAACCAACAAAAUGACAACUGAUAUGUCCUCCAGUGAAUCUAUGUUAAGACGUUCUGUCUGCAGUAAUUAAAAACUAGGUCUCUGUUCCAUGCUCAAGGCCACUGUUUGAUGGGGGAGGUAUAAAGUCAUAACAGGCUGAUGUAAAUUUCCUUUGAGGUGCCUUAUAUAUCACAGAUUCCACGAGGGAGAUGAAACAGCAAUUUUGUUCCUGCUCAUAAGUAAGGGGUGGAAGAAAUGCUUCUUGUGAAGAGAACUAGACUCAUGCCUAUUCUCUAAUUGAGGCCAGUAUAGUAUAUUAUUCUUCAGGUAAAUCUUUGAUAACACUUAUUGCUUUUUCCAAGACCCCUUCUGAAAGGAGGGCUUGUAAUUCUGAGGAGGAAAUGAACAGCUCCAAAACCGAGGGAGAUAAAGAAAAUGUCAAUGUCAAGGGUCUUAGACGUGGUCAGUCAGCCGAAUUUUGUGUUUCUGCUAAAUUAAAAUCAGAAACUCAUUACAGAAAAUGAAACAAGAAGGUAGUUUAGGCAGUCACUUUUUAAGAUCACCAUCAGCCUCUGAACAGUUGAGAAGCCUUUUGUCUAUCUACUGUAGAUACCUGGGUUGCUGGCUUGAAAAGAUGCAGACCUACUUCUCUGACAGGGUUGGUGUCAGGGCUUUCCUGAGCAUGCCAAGAAAGCCACUUAUUGAGCUUAAAAAGCUUAAUUAAGCUGGGCAAAUGAUGAUAAAAACCGAGGGAGAGUACUCAUUUCACAAAUAUCUUUAUGGGUCCACCCGGGGAAAUAAGAUAACACUUAGGUGUGCACGUUCCAUGUCCAGUAUCUGUUUCAUCUCCACAUACUGCCUUCAGAAAUCACCUGUUAUUUAAGAUGCCAGAUGACCUUUUAAUAAAACAACAAUGAAGUGACAUUUUAAAAUAUUUCAAACUUAACCACAGUCCCUAGCUCUUGCCCAGCAUUACAUUUGUGCAGUUAAACUGGUAACUUGUUUUUUUCCUCCCAAGGAAUUUCACCAUCCACAUGAGCAACAAAACAGAACGUGUGCAGAUGCCAUCAUUUGCAAGUCUAUUGUAGACAAGGGAGGCACAGUGGGGUUUUUACACCACUUGAGGUCCUAUUCCAGAAAGGACUUAGGCUUUUAUUCCCUUGCAAUUGUCACAGUUAUGUUCUCAGAUGAGCCAGUUCAGUUAAAUAAACUGGAAGGUGUAAAUGACACUGGUUUUCCUACAACUAUCUUCAAUACUGGGUGAAGAAUGGCACUUUUGCUACAUGAAUAAAUGGCAUUAAAUUCAUAAAGCACAGCCCAAGAGGAAGAGAAUUUGCUGAAACCCAGCUCUUGUUCACAUGUGGACAAGAAGCUCCUUUUACACACAGGUUUUGAUCACAGCAGUAUCAUCAGUAAGGCAACAAUAUCUGUGCUCAACUAAAGCUAUCUUCUAAUGGGAAAGAUUGUUACCUAUUCGUCACAUAUAGAAAUAAUCACCAAUCAGUAUUUUGCCAUCAAAAUCAGUGGCAACACUUCAUAAGCAGAGUAAAACCAAGGAUGACAAUGGGUGUCAAAAUCUAAGUGGGUAGUAUCAGCUGAAAAGUAGCAGGGAGAGGAGUAUGCAGUCACUUAAAAUAGAGAGCAUCAGGGAUUGAUGAGGAAUGAGUUGAAGAGCCAGGAAAGUGUCUGUAGCAGAA
Passer domesticus (house sparrow) is the source of this 2299-nucleotide long non-coding RNA. RefSeq lists it as uncharacterized. The record is from RefSeq and is a predicted model, not a curated record. The transcript is spliced from 4 exons. NCBI's taxonomy places the organism in Eukaryota, Metazoa, Chordata, Aves, Passeriformes, Passeridae.